GCAAGUCGAGGGGUAACAGAUAUAAAGCUUGCUUUAUAUGCUGACGACCGGCGCACGGGUGAGUAACACGUAUGCAACCUACCUUUUACAGGAGAAUAACCCAGAGAAAUUUGGACUAAUACUCCAUAACGUUUAUUAAUCGCAUGAUUAAUAAAUUAAAGCUCCGGCGGUAAAAGAUGGGCAUGCGUCCUAUUAGUUAGUUGGUAAGGUAACGGCUUACCAUGGCUACGAUGGGUAGGGGCCCUGAGAGGGGAAUC
This 257-nucleotide ribosomal RNA is filed under the name uncultured bacterium. RNAcentral describes it as "partial 16S ribosomal RNA". It matches the Rfam family "Bacterial small subunit ribosomal RNA", at positions 57 to 305 of the family's 1533-position model. The record is from RNAcentral.